UACGGGAGGCAGCAGUAGGGAAUCUUCCGCAAUGGACGAAAGUCUGACGGAGCAACGCCGCGUGAACGAUGAAGGCUUUCGGGUCGUAAAGUUCUGUUGUUAGGGAAGAACAAGUACCAGAGUAACUGCUGGUACCUUGACGGUACCUAACCAGAAAGCCACGGCUAACUACGUGCCAGCAGCCGCGGUAAUACGUAGGUGGCAAGCGUUGUCCGGAAUUAUUGGGCGUAAAGCGCGCGCAGGUGGUCCUUUAAGUCUGAUGUGAAAGCCCACGGCUCAACCGUGGAGGGUCAUUGGAAACUGGGGACUUGAGUGCAGAAGAGGAAAGUGGAAUUCCACGUGUAGCGGUGAAAUGCGUAGAGAUGUGGAGGAACACCAGUGGCGAAGGCGACUUUUCUGGUCUGUAACUGACACUGAGGCGCGAAAGCGUGGGGAGCGAACAGGGAUUAGAUACC
This 455-nucleotide ribosomal RNA is filed under the name uncultured bacterium. Its description in RNAcentral is "bacterial SSU rRNA". It matches the Rfam family "Bacterial small subunit ribosomal RNA", at positions 340 to 786 of the family's 1533-position model. The record is from RNAcentral.